Molecule: ribosomal RNA, 424 nt
Filed under: uncultured bacterium
Lineage: Bacteria
Description: partial 16S ribosomal RNA
Rfam family: Bacterial small subunit ribosomal RNA
Source: RNAcentral
GUUAGGAAUCUUCCACAAUGGGGGCAACCCUGAUGGAGCAACACCGCGUGCUGGAUGAAGGCCUUCGGGUCGUAAACAGCUUUUGUAUACGAAGAAUAUGACGGUAAUAUACGAAUAAGGGUCGGCUAACUACGUGCCAGCAGCCGCGGUCAUACGUAGGACCCAAGCGUUAUCCGGAGUGACUGGGCGUAAAGAGUUGCGUAGGCGGCUUAUUAAGCGAGUAGUGAAAUCUGGUGGCUCAACCAUCAACACAUUGCUCGAACUGAUAGGCUUGAGAAUGGUAGAGGUAGUUGGAAUUUCUUGUGUAGGAGUGAAAUCCGUAGAUAUAAGAAGGAACACCAAUGGCGUAGGCAGACUACUGGACCAUUUCUGACGCUGAGGCACGAAAGCGUGGGGAGCGAACCGGAUUAGAAACCCCAAGUCC